This 376-nucleotide ribosomal RNA is filed under the name uncultured bacterium. Its description in RNAcentral is "bacterial SSU rRNA". It matches the Rfam family "Bacterial small subunit ribosomal RNA", at positions 524 to 898 of the family's 1533-position model. The record is from RNAcentral.
UACGUAGGGGGCAAGCGUUGUCCGGAAUGAUUGGGCGUAAAGCGCGCGCAGGCGGUCCUUUAAGUCUGAUGUGAAAGCCCGCAGCUUAACUGCGGAGGGUCAUUGGAAACUGGGGGACUUGAGGCUAGGAGAGGGAAGUGGAAUUCCUGGUGUAGCGGUGAAAUGCGUAGAGAUCAGGAGGAAUACCGAUGGCGAAAGCAGCUUCCUGGCCUAGGACUGACGCUGAGGCGCGAAAGCGUGGGGAGCAAACAGGAUUAGAUACCCUGGUAGUCCACGCCGUAAACGAUGAGUGCUAGGUGUGGGAGGUUUCAAUACCUUCCGUGCCGCAGUUCACACAAUAAGCACUCCGCCUGGGGAGUACGGUCGCAAGACUGAA